GCCAUCAGGUAAUGCUGGGGACUCUAAAGGAACUGCCUACGCAAGUAGUGAGGAAGCGGGGAUGACGUCAAAUCAGCAGGCCCUUACGUCCAGGGCUACACACGUGCUACAAUGGCCGAUACAGAGGGCAGCUACCUGGUGACAGGAUGCAAAUCUCCAAAGUCGGUCUCAGUUCGGAUCGGAGUCUGCAACCCGACUCCGUGAAGUUGGAUUCGCUAGUAAUCGCGCAUCCAGCCCAUGGCGACGGUAGAAUACGUCCCGGGCCGU
This 267-nucleotide ribosomal RNA is filed under the name uncultured Sphingobacteriales bacterium. Its description in RNAcentral is "partial 16S ribosomal RNA". It matches the Rfam family "Bacterial small subunit ribosomal RNA", at positions 1117 to 1382 of the family's 1533-position model. The record is from RNAcentral. Lineage: Bacteria; Pseudomonadati; Bacteroidota; Sphingobacteriia; Sphingobacteriales.